RNAcentral lists this long non-coding RNA (574 nucleotides) under Rattus norvegicus (Norway rat). Its description in RNAcentral is "long non-coding RNA NONRATT001089". The record is from RNAcentral. Lineage: Eukaryota; Metazoa; Chordata; Mammalia; Rodentia; Muridae.
GCAUCCCCAUGUGGUUCGUUAUUUCUCUGCCUGGGCAGAAGAUGACCAUAUGCUUAUACAGAAUGAAUACUGUAAUGGUGGGAGUUUAGCUGACGCUGUAAGUGAGAACUACAGAGUCAUGAGCUACUUUACUGAAGCAGAGCUGAAGGAUCUCCUUUUGCAAGUUGGCAGGGGCUUGAGAUACAUACAUUCAAUGUCUUUGGUUCACAUGGAUAUAAAACCUAGUAAUAUUUUUAUAUCUCGAACCUCAAUCCCAAAUGCAGUCUCUGAAGAAGGAGAUGAAGAUGACUGGAUAUCCAACAAAGUUAUGUUUAAAAUAGGUGAUCUUGGGCAUGUAACAAGAAUCUCUAGUCCACAAGUUGAAGAAGGUGAUAGUCGUUUUCUAGCAAAUGAAGUUUUACAAGAGGUAAUUUCUUCCUCCUUGGGUUAUAGUAUUUGCUUGGUACCAGUUGACAGAAGACUGAAUUCUAAUAUGUUGAAAAUUAAUUAACUAGUAAACUAAAAGUAAAAAGUCUAAACCUAUUUCUGAUGGCAUUGAAAGUUGUUGCAUUCACUACCAGUGGAACUUCAAAGU